Molecule: ribosomal RNA, 262 nt
Filed under: uncultured prokaryote
Description: partial 16S ribosomal RNA
Rfam family: Bacterial small subunit ribosomal RNA
Source: RNAcentral
UACGUAGGUGGCGAGCGUUAUCCAGAAUUAUUGGGCGUAAAGAGCGCGCAGGUGGUUGAUUAAGUCUGAUGUGAAAGCCCACGGCUUAACCGUGGAGGGUCAUUGGAAACUGGUCGACUUGAGUGCAGAAGAGGGAAGUGGAAUUCCAUGUGUAGCGGUGAAAUGCGUAGAGAUAUGGAGGAACACCAGUGGCGAAGGCGGCUUCCUGGUCUGUAACUGGCACUGAGGCGCGAAAGCGUGGGGAGCAAACAGGAUUACGAUA